This 253-nucleotide ribosomal RNA is filed under the name uncultured bacterium. Its description in RNAcentral is "partial 16S ribosomal RNA". It matches the Rfam family "Bacterial small subunit ribosomal RNA", at positions 524 to 776 of the family's 1533-position model. The record is from RNAcentral.
UACGUAGGUGACCAGCGUUGUCCGGAUUUACUGGGCGUAAAGAGCGCGCAGGCGGUCGUUCAAGUCGCGUGUGAAAGCCCCCGGCUCAACUGGGGAGGGUCAUUCGAUACUGAUCGACUGGAAGGCAGGAGAGGGAAGCGGAAUUCCCGGUGUAGUGGUGAAAUGCGUAGAUAUCGGGAGGAACACCAGUGGCGAAGGCGGCUUCCUGGCCUGUUCUUGACGCUGAGGCGCGAAAGCUAGGGGAGCAAACGGG